UGGGGAAUCUUAGACAAUGGGGGAAACCCUGAUCUAGCCAUGCCGCGUGAGUGACGAAGGCCCUAGGGUCGUAAAGCUCUUUCGCCAGGGAUGAUAAUGACAGUACCUGGUAAAGAAACCCCGGCUAACUCCGUGCCAGCAGCCGCGGUAAUACGGAGGGGGUUAGCGUUGUUCGGAAUUACUGGGCGUAAAGCGCGCGUAGGCGGACUGUUAAGUCAGAGGUGAAAUCCCGGGGCUCAACCCCGGAACUGCCUUUGAUACUGGCAGUCUUGAGUUCGAGAGAGGUGAGUGGAAUUCCGAGUGUAGAGGUGAAAUUCGUAGAUAUUCGGAGGAACACCAGUGGCGAAGGCGGCUCACUGGCUCGAUACUGACGCUGAGGUGCGAAAGCGUGGGGAGCAAACAGGAUUAGAUACCCCCGUAGUCC
This 424-nucleotide ribosomal RNA is filed under the name uncultured prokaryote. RNAcentral describes it as "bacterial SSU rRNA". It matches the Rfam family "Bacterial small subunit ribosomal RNA", at positions 355 to 796 of the family's 1533-position model. The record is from RNAcentral.